This 24-nucleotide non-coding RNA is filed under the name Arabidopsis thaliana (thale cress). The record is from RNAcentral. Lineage: Eukaryota; Viridiplantae; Streptophyta; Magnoliopsida; Brassicales; Brassicaceae.
GCCCAAGACAUAUCCGCCUGCCUC